GGCCUCCACAAACCAACUUAUGCGGUUUUUUUUUUUUGUUUUUUGUGUCAAAAACUUAAAAUAUGCAUUUGAUAAUGGUCAAGUAACAUUCAAUUUCAAUUUUAGACCCUCCAUCCACAUUCUCUCCUUCACUCUCCAGCUCGUCCUCCUUUUGCUGGCCUCAUCCUCCGCUCGCACCAUGUGGCUCCAUCACUUUGGCAUCGUGUGGGUCUGCUGUCAAGGCUAACAAAAGUUUGAAACUUUUUCGACUUCAUCAUUUUCGCACGGCUUUAUUCUUCCACUGGCAUUCUUGCUGCCGACACCCACCAUCAUCGUCUGGCUUCGCCGAUAAGGCGAUAAGGAAAGUUGAAGAUGCAUUUGACCACUGUUGUAGGAAGCUGAAGAUGCAACUCUGUUGUUGGGUUGCUAAAGAAACUUGUUGAAUUCAUGAACUGUCACUCUUGUUCAGAAAAAUAGCUUUAUGUAUUUUAUGAAAAAAUAUAUGCACAAUGGGUGCUGUUGUGGUGUGUUAUUACUAUAUGUAUUAUAUAUGCAUUCAAAAACAGAGCAAGCACAUCUGGAAUAUAGACAAGUGUGAUCAUUUUAAUGCU
Long non-coding RNA from Juglans regia (Persian walnut), 590 nucleotides. RefSeq lists it as uncharacterized. Lineage: Eukaryota; Viridiplantae; Streptophyta; Magnoliopsida; Fagales; Juglandaceae. The record is from RefSeq and is a predicted model, not a curated record. The transcript is spliced from 2 exons.